Molecule: long non-coding RNA, 901 nt
Organism: Lineus longissimus
Lineage: Eukaryota; Metazoa; Nemertea; Pilidiophora; Heteronemertea; Lineidae
Exons: 6
Source: RefSeq, a predicted model, not a curated record
UCCGACGCGGCGGCUUUCAUCUUUCGAAACUUCUCCGUUAAAUUCUUUAAUUUAACCACUUUUUCGCGAAUAAAGACAACUUUUUGUUGGCAGCCUGGCCAGAAACGUUUUGCUCAAACAAGAAUAGUGACAAGUACUGAGCUAUGGAUUCAAUUUACCUCACCCCCAUCCCCAUCUGCUAGCAAGACCAAGCAAGAUCUAGAGUAUAUCGAGACCGCGUCACCAGAUAUAUUGCUCCUUGUGUAGUGCUGAGCUAUGGAUUCACUUCACCUCAACGCCAUCCCCAAUUUCUAGGAAGGAUCAAUUCAUAUUGUGAACUUAUAGAGCCUGCAUGGUUUCAAGGAAGAUGAGAUGGAGAGAUACAACAUACAUGGAGAAAUCUGUGUCUGUAUCAUAAAGGUCUGUGUGUGUAUCAUGAAGAGGGAUUCAGUCGACUUUUGAAGGAACAAAUAUUUCGGCUCGUCCAUCUGAUGGCACAGACUUGAAAAGAGAAAAGCUACCGCACCAUCGUUCUCUUGGUAAUCAAGCCAAGAUCAGUCCACAUGCUGAGGGUUGCAACUCCAACACCACUAACAAGAUUUCACUGUGAUCAGCUGACUACAACAAAUCUGACUGGAGAAAAUGAUGAAGGAAUCUAAAAUGUUGUUGCACGGACAAGCAAUCUUAGAAUACAAGCACCUCAACGGGAAAACCACUGGUAAUUGAAGCUGGUAGAGCGCUGUGACAUCUCUCGUAAACAAGCUGCCGGUUGUGGACAAGGAUCACGUCAACGUUGCUACACUCCUAAAGCUGUGGCUGUCUUCAGGUCUUUUCUGCCUCGUGGGCAAAUCUGCAUACCAGUGAUUAUAUGCGUACUUAAGUUUUGCUUUGAAGCAAUAUCAGUGCUACACUUGUGAAGCAG